UACGGGGGGGGCAAGCGUUGUUCGGAAUUACUGGGCGUAAAGGGCGCGUAGGCGGCCUUCUAAGUCGGACGUGAAAUCCCUCGGCUUAACCGAGGAACUGCGUCCGAUACUGAAAGGCUUGAAUCCGGGAGAGGGAUGUGGAAUUCCAGGUGUAGCGGUGAAAUGCGUAGAUAUCUGGAGGAACACCGGUGGCGAAGGCAGCCCCCUGGGUCAAAACUGACGCUCAUGCACGAAAGCGUGGGGAGCAAACAGG
This 253-nucleotide ribosomal RNA is filed under the name uncultured bacterium. RNAcentral describes it as "partial 16S ribosomal RNA". It matches the Rfam family "Bacterial small subunit ribosomal RNA", at positions 524 to 776 of the family's 1533-position model. The record is from RNAcentral.